GACGAACGCUGGCGGCGUGCUUAACACAUGCAAGUCGAACGGAAAGGCCCUGCUUUUGUGGGGUGCUCGAGUGGCGAACGGGUGAGUAACACGUGAUUAACCUGCCCUUUACUUUGUGAUAACUUCAGGAAACUGGGGCUAAUACCGGAUAGUAGCUCCUUCUUCAUGGUGGGCGUCGGAAAGUUUCGUCGGUUGGGGAUGGACUCGCGGCUUAUCAGCUUGUUGGUGGGCUAGUGGCUUACCAAUGCUUUGACGGGUAGCCGGCCUGAGAGGGUUAACGGCCACAUUGGGACUGAGAUAGGGCACAGACUCCUACGGGAGGCAGCAGUGGGGAAUCUUGCACAAUGGGCGCAAGCCUGAUGCAGCAACGCCGGGUGCGGGAUGACGGAUUUGGGGGUGUAAACCGCUUUCGGCUGUGACGAAGCGUGAGUGACGGUAAUGGGUAAAGAAGCACCGGCUAACUACGUG
This 468-nucleotide ribosomal RNA is filed under the name uncultured bacterium. RNAcentral's name for it is "partial 16S ribosomal RNA". It matches the Rfam family "Bacterial small subunit ribosomal RNA", at positions 28 to 507 of the family's 1533-position model. The record is from RNAcentral.